RNAcentral lists this ribosomal RNA (253 nucleotides) under uncultured bacterium. RNAcentral's name for it is "partial 16S ribosomal RNA". It matches the Rfam family "Bacterial small subunit ribosomal RNA", at positions 524 to 776 of the family's 1533-position model. The record is from RNAcentral.
UACGUAUGGUGCAAGCGUUAUCCGGAUUUACUGGGUGUAAAGGGAGCGCAGGCGGCACGGCAAGCCUGAUGUGAAAGCCCGCGGCCCAACCGCGGGACUGCAUUGGGAACUACCGGGCUGGAGUGCCGGAGAGGUAGGCGGAAUUCCUAGUGUAGCGGUGAAAUGCGUAGAUAUUAGGAGGAACACCAGUGACGAAGGCGGCCUACUGGACGGUGACUGACGCUGAGGCUCGAAAGCGUGGGGAGCAAACAGG